RNAcentral lists this ribosomal RNA (493 nucleotides) under uncultured bacterium. Its description in RNAcentral is "partial 16S ribosomal RNA". It matches the Rfam family "Bacterial small subunit ribosomal RNA", at positions 30 to 523 of the family's 1533-position model. The record is from RNAcentral.
AUUGAACGCUGGCGGCAUGCCUUACACAUGCAAGUCGAACGGUAACAGGUUAAGCUGACGAGUGGCGAACGGGUGAGUAAUGUAUCGGAACGUGCCCAGUCGUGGGGGAUAACUGCUCGAAAGAGCAGCUAAUACCGCAUACGACCUGAGGGUGAAAGCGGGGGAUCGCAAGACCUCGCGCGAUUGGAGCGGCCGAUAUCAGAUUAGGUAGUUGGUGAGGUAAAGGCUCACCAAGCCGACGACCUGUAGCUGGUCUGAGAGGACGACCAGCCCCACUGGGACUGAGACACGGCCCAGACUCCUACGGGAGGCAGCAGUGGGGAAUUUUGGACAAUGGGCGCAAGCCUGAUCCAGCCAUGCCGCGUGCGGGAAGAAGGCCUUCGGGUUGUAAACCGCUUUUGUCAGGGAAGAAAAGGUUCUGGCUAAUACCUGGGACUCAUGACGGUACCUGAAGAAUAAGCACCGGCUAACUACGUGCCAGCCGCCGCGGUAA